RNAcentral lists this ribosomal RNA (253 nucleotides) under uncultured bacterium. RNAcentral's name for it is "partial 16S ribosomal RNA". It matches the Rfam family "Bacterial small subunit ribosomal RNA", at positions 524 to 776 of the family's 1533-position model. The record is from RNAcentral.
UACAGAGGUCUCAAGCGUUGUUCGGAUUCAUUGGGCGUAAAGGGUGCGUAGGUGGCGCGUUAAGUCAGGUGUGAAAUCUCGGAGCUUAACUCCGAAACUGCAUUCGAUACUGCCGUGCUUGAGGACUGGAGAGGAGACUGGAAUUUACGGUGUAGCGGUGAAAUGCGUAGAUAUCGUAAGGAAGACCAGUGGCGAAGGCGGGUCUCUGGACAGUUCCUGACGCUGAGGCACGAAGGCCAGGGGAGCAAACGGG